Canis lupus familiaris (dog) is the source of this 783-nucleotide long non-coding RNA. RefSeq lists it as uncharacterized. NCBI's taxonomy places the organism in Eukaryota, Metazoa, Chordata, Mammalia, Carnivora, Canidae. The record is from RefSeq and is a predicted model, not a curated record. The transcript is spliced from 3 exons.
CACGGAGGCAACGGACGCACGGAGGCCAAGGCUCCAUCCCUGGCGGUGCCUCCUCCUCGCACUGGACGGCGGAGCAGCCCUCGGAGUCCCGGAACGGCUGGGGAAAGCCGGACCACCCGCAACUUCACACCUGAGAGCGUCCCCGCAGCCCGGCACCCGCGCCGCCCAGCGCCCCGCGUCGGCGGCCACGGGGCUUCUGCACAGGCGCAGCCGGGCCACCCUCCUCCACCACAGGCCUUGGGGCUCCCGACCGCGCUCCCGGACACGCGCCCGCGGCCCUCGCCCCCCCGCGGCCCCCACUCCCAGGCUGGGGCUGCAAGCGGGGCUGCAGGCUCAAGGGCCCGGGGCCGCCACACUGGCGCCCCUCGGACCCGGCAGGCCCGGCGCCCAGCCACACCCACACCCACACCCGCCCUCCAGGCGCGCCCGCAGCCCCUCACCUGCUGCAACAUGACGGCCCUGCGCCAGCCCCACUUCCGGGAGCCACGUCAGCCCCGCAGCUGACGCGACGCGGUCGCCACGGGAGGGGCGGGACAAAGGACAAGCGCGGACCGUUCCCACUUCCGCUUCCAGAAGCAACUGAAAAAAGAUAAACGUGCUCCUGUAAAGAGGCGGGAAGGUGCUAAGAAGAAACGAGAUGGAGGGCUCUAAAUGCAGGGAGGAAGACAGGCCAGGAAACAGGAAGGAACAGAGGUUGAGAGCGUGGGUUUGAGUCCCUGCAUCUCCAGGGCACAGCAUCCAAAUGCCAUGUUUCGGGGAUCCCUGGGUGGCGCAGCGGUUUGG